UUUCUACAUAUAGCUCAACCAACUAUCCAAACCACCCCAAAUUAAAACAAACCAUUUGACCCUACUAGUAAAGGAGAUU
Molecule: ribosomal RNA, 79 nt
Filed under: Plica lumaria
Lineage: Eukaryota; Metazoa; Chordata; Lepidosauria; Squamata; Tropiduridae
Description: partial 16S large subunit ribosomal RNA
Source: RNAcentral